GAUGAAGAACGUAGCGAAAUGCGAUAAGUAAUGCGAAUUGCAGAAUUCAGUGAAUCAUUGAAUCUUUGAACGCACAUUGCGCCCGCUAGUAUUCUGGCGGGCAUGCCUGUCUGAGCGUCAUUUCAACCCUCGCCCCCGGCUUUUGCUGGGAGCGGUGUUGGGGAUCGGCCGCCCGUCACUGGGAGGCCGGCCCCGAAAUAGAGUGGCGACCACGCCGUGUGCUCCUCUGCGUAGUAGUAAAUCACCUCGCAGGCGGACAGCGGUGCGGCCUGCCGUAAAACCCCCAACUCUUUCUGGUUGACCUCAGAUCAGGUAGGAAUACCCGCUGAACUUAAGCAUAUCAAUAAGCGGAGGA
RNAcentral lists this unclassified non-coding RNA (355 nucleotides) under soil metagenome. Its description in RNAcentral is "partial contains 5.8S ribosomal RNA, internal transcribed spacer 2, and large subunit ribosomal RNA". The stretch from base 1 to 120 matches the Rfam family "5.8S ribosomal RNA", at positions 35 to 154 of the family's 154-position model. The record is from RNAcentral.